AUGGCGAUGGCGGCGUCGUGGUGGGCGCUGCUGGCGGCGGCGGCGGUUGUGGCGGCGGCGGGGUGCGGCGAGGCGGCGCCCACGGCGGCGGCGGAGGCGGCGCACGACGUGCUGCAGACCCACGGCCUCCCGCGCGGGCUGCUCCCUGCGGGGAUCGCGGCGUUCUCGCACGACCCGGCCACCGGCCGGUUCGAGGCGGUCCUGGAGUCCCCCUGCACGUCGCGCACCGAGGUCGGCCUGCGGUACAACAUCACCGUGGCGGGGCAGAUCAGCUAUGGCCGGAUCGCCGAGCUCUCCGGGGUGGACGCUCAGGACCUAUUUCUCUGGUUCGCCGUGCGCAGCAUCCGCGUGGACGUGCCCUCCUCCGGCGUCAUCUACUUCGAUGUGGGCGUGGUCUACAAGCACUUCCCGCUGUCGUUCUUCGAGGCGCCGCCGCCGUGCGUGCCCACCCCGCUCAUCCUCCUGCAACCACAUCAGGUAAUUAGGGGCGACGGAUCGGUGGUGGAAGACGGCGCCGCGUUGCAACAAUGA
Molecule: ribosomal RNA, 531 nt
Filed under: Triticum aestivum (bread wheat)
Lineage: Eukaryota; Viridiplantae; Streptophyta; Magnoliopsida; Poales; Poaceae
Description: partial small subunit ribosomal RNA
Source: RNAcentral